Molecule: ribosomal RNA, 347 nt
Filed under: Eupholus azureus
Lineage: Eukaryota; Metazoa; Arthropoda; Insecta; Coleoptera; Curculionidae
Description: partial 16S ribosomal RNA
Rfam family: Bacterial large subunit ribosomal RNA (bases 198-347)
Source: RNAcentral
UUAAUAGAAGACGAGAAGACCCUAUAGAGUUUUAUAAAUUUUAGACUUAGUGAGAUUUUGGAAUUAAUAAAUUUUUAAGUUAAAAUUUAUUUAGUUGGGGUGAUUAAAAAAUUGAAUGAACUUUUUUUAUUUAUUUAUACAUUAAUUUAUGGUUAAUUGAUCCUUAUUUAAAGAUUAAAAGAAAAAAUUACCUUAGGGAUAACAGCGUAAUUUUUUUAAAGAGUUCAAAUCGAAAAAAAAGAUUGCGACCUCGAUGUUGGAUUAAAAUAAAAUUUUGGUGUAGGGGCUAAAAUAUUUGGGUCUGUUCGACCCUUAAAAUUUUACAUGAUCUGAGUUUAAACCGGCGU